UUUUUUUUUUUUGAGGUCAUAAAAUCCACGAUUUGUCGCUCUUCGUUGCCGCGAUCGACGCUACUUACAGUAGUAAAAAGGUAAUUCUCUCCCGGCCGUCGGAUCGGACGGUGGGACAAGGGCGCCCUGAGCCGCCGGCGCGUUGGGCGCGGCCGGCCACAUGCCCACAUGGGCGCGGUGCUUUGAACCUCCCGCGAACCAACAGCUCGCUGCGCCUGCACAUGCCCCAGCUGUCCGAGCCAAUCCGGGCACAUGGCCCGGCUCUACCUCUACCUGCUGCUCCUACUCGUAGCCGAACACUAUGCACAGCAACCGGACAAACUUUCUGCUAUAGUACAGCUAGUUUUCUAUGGCUAGCCCCGUCAGACUGGCAGAGCUAUCUGUAUCUGGCUUCUCGCCGUUUGGAUCGUGGCCUCGUGGGCAGGUCAAGCUCGACAGAUGCAGGACAGACUGUAAAACUAAAACUAUGCAAGGAGCGGCGGAUCUGGCCCUCCUCAUCAGAUGUUCUCUUCAUUUUUAUUGACAACAUCCACGUACAGUUUGCAAGAAAUAGUAUAAUGCCAUUGCGGCCUAGCAAAAUCUUAGGUGUUCUUUGUGCGUGUUAAGUGGGAUCGACGGCCUUUGGUUCAUAUUCAUAGUCUCUGCGUCGAGUAAAUCAAGUUCUUGUUCUUAGCUUGAUGUCCUUUUCUCUAGCAAUCUGAAACUGUUCUCUAAUACGUACUUAGCUGAGUGAAUAAUGUAGUAUCGUUGCAGCGUUAUGCGCACAAUCACAAAGUAAACAUCGCAAGAUCGAGCUCCCAGCAUACAUACAAGAAUAAUGGUGAAAUGCAUAAAUUAAAUCAAUGCUCGUAAUUACAGCAGAAGAUGAGGGUACACCAAUGUGCGGACGGAAGGGGGCAAAGAGGGGGAGAAAUGGAACAAAAGCUGCAAAGAAACAAUGAAAUGAUACAUCAUCGGGUCAUCUAGAAGGCGUAGAUGGCGACCGCGGCGGCGGCCAACACGAAGGCGGGGCUGAGACCAGCGGCCCCGCUGCCCGGGGUGGCGGGCUCGGCGGUGGGCGAGGGCGACAUGUCCGGGGUGGGCGCCGGAGGGGAGGACAUCGGGGAGUCGGCGGGCGCCGGCGCGGUGGCGGAGGGCGUGGGGGCGACGGUGGGCGCGGGCGCAGGGGCCGCGGUAGGGGGCGGGGACACAGGCGCCGGGGUAGGGGGCGCCAUUGCCGGGGGCGGGGUCGCCGGCGGGGGAGGCGGGGCCUGGGGCGCUGCCGCGGGGGCCGCUCCGGGCGCCUGAGCGGUCGCGGCCACGGCCAGGAGCGCGAGGACGGAGAGGAUGGUGAGCUGAGAAGCGGCCAUUGUGCAAACCUUUGGGUGGUUUCUUGGUGGCUCGCUUCUCGCUUCCUCUGCCUGCGCUGUGAGCUGUGUGUGGGUGGGGGAGCGAUGGAGAGGCGCGGCGGGGCUUAUAAAGGAGGGCCGGAACUGAGCUGUGCGGUGGCGUUGCG
RNAcentral lists this long non-coding RNA (1495 nucleotides) under Triticum aestivum (bread wheat). RNAcentral's name for it is "long non-coding RNA (TAES_LNC024318)". The record is from RNAcentral. Lineage: Eukaryota; Viridiplantae; Streptophyta; Magnoliopsida; Poales; Poaceae.